RNAcentral lists this ribosomal RNA (497 nucleotides) under uncultured bacterium. RNAcentral describes it as "partial 16S ribosomal RNA". It matches the Rfam family "Bacterial small subunit ribosomal RNA", at positions 28 to 507 of the family's 1533-position model. The record is from RNAcentral.
GACGAACGCUGGCGGCGUGCCUAAUACAUGCAAGUUGAGCGCUGAAGGUUGGUACUUGUACCAACUGGAUGAGCAGCGAACGGGUGAGUAACGCGUGGGGAAUCUGCCUUUGAGCGGGGGACAACAUUUGGAAACGAAUGCUAAUACCGCAUAAAAACUUUAAACACAAGUUUUAAGUUUGAAAGAUGCAAUUGCAUCACUCAAAGAUGAUCCCGCGUUGUAUUAGCUAGUUGGUGAGGUAAAGGCUCACCAAGGCGAUGAUACAUAGCCGACCUGAGAGGGUGAUCGGCCACAUUGGGACUGAGACACGGCCCAAACUCCUACGGGAGGCAGCAGUAGGGAAUCUUCGGCAAUGGACGAAAGUCUGACCGAGCAACGCCGCGUGAGUGAAGAAGGUUCUCGGAUCGUAAAACUCUGUUGGUAGAGAAGAACGUUGGUGAGAGUGGAAAGCUCAUCAAGUGACGGUAACUACCCAGAAAGUGACGGCUAACUACGUG